This 253-nucleotide ribosomal RNA is filed under the name uncultured bacterium. RNAcentral describes it as "partial 16S ribosomal RNA". It matches the Rfam family "Bacterial small subunit ribosomal RNA", at positions 524 to 776 of the family's 1533-position model. The record is from RNAcentral.
UACAGAGGGGGCAAGCGUUAUUCGGAAUUAUUGGGCGUAAAGGGCGCGUAGGCGGCCAGUCAAGUGGAAGGUGAAAUCCCUCGGCUUAACCGAGGAACUGCCUUCCAGACUGUUUGGCUUGAGACCAGGAGAGGUGAGUGGAAUUCCCAGUGUAGCGGUGAAAUGCGUAGAUAUUGGGAGGAACACCAGUGGCGAAGGCGGCUCACUGGACUGGUACUGACGCUGAGGCGCGGAAGCGUGGGGAGCAAACGGG